UGGGGAAUAUUGCGCAAUGGGGGGAACCCUGACGCAGCCAUGCCGCGUGAAUGAAGAAGGCCUUAGGGUUGUAAAGUUCUUUCGGUAUUGAGGAAGGUUGAUGUGUUAAUAGCACAUCAAAUUGACGUUAAAUACAGAAGAAGCACCGGCUAACUCCGUGCCAGCAACCGCGGUAAUACGGAGGGUGCGAGCGUUAAUCGGAAUAACUGGGCGUAAAGGGCACGCAGGCGGUUAUUUAAGUGAGGUGUGAAAGCCCCGGGCUUAACCUGGGAAUUGCAUUUCAGACUGGGUAACUAGAGUACUUUAGGGAGGGGUAGAAUUCCACGUGUAGCGGUGAAAUGCGUAGAGAUGUGGAGGAAUACCGAAGGCGAAGGCAGCCCCUUGGGAAUGUACUGACGCUCAUGUGCGAAAGCGUGGGGAGCAAACAGGAUUAGAUACCCUGGUAGUCCACGCUGUAAACGCUGUCGAUUUGGGGGUUGGGGUUUAACUCUGGCGCCCGUAGCUAACGUGAUAAAUCGACCGCCUGGGGAGUACGGCCGCAAGGUUA
This 547-nucleotide ribosomal RNA is filed under the name uncultured bacterium. Its description in RNAcentral is "bacterial SSU rRNA". It matches the Rfam family "Bacterial small subunit ribosomal RNA", at positions 355 to 896 of the family's 1533-position model. The record is from RNAcentral.